GAGUUCAAUCCCUGGUACCAAAAACAAACAAACAAACAAACAAACCAAAAACCCAAAACAAAACAAACAAAAAGUCUCAUGGUGUAAAUUUGUGUGUGUCAAAAUGACUUUCCCCCAUGUAGACUUUGUCACUGGGUUCUCAUCCCUCUCGCUGAUAUUUUCUUGGUCCUGUGUUUCAGAACUGCUUGAUGUGGGAUCCCACAGCUGGCCUAAAUUCUCCUGGAGUGUCUCAUGAACAUCAGUACCUGGGUCUUAUCCUGUUAGAGAGCUGAUGAAUUUAGGGGUGUAGUCUCUCAGGAGUAGCUGAGUGUCCUGCAGAGUAGGCCCAUGGCGGAGUAACACACACCAUUCAUGAAGAGAAGACAAGGAUCCUUGGCAGCUCCUGGAAAGACCCAUCAGACCUUUCCUUUACUUACAGUUACCCCUCAUCCAGGACAACCUGAGGCAAAUGCAUUUGUCUCCUAAUUCUCCAGACUCAGCUGUCAAUGGACUAAUCAGCACCUUGCAUCCUUGGUGUAGAAGUGGGGUUGCUCUAAGUGCCAGGCUUGCCUGAGAAGGCUGGAGGGGCACUCAGUUUUCUUCAUGGUGACCAAAUAUGAUAGCAAAAUCUUAGUCCUUGUCCCUACCUAGUCCUUUUCCAAUACGGAGAAAAAGGAUUUGAGGAAAAAAUAAAAGUGUCAUUGCUAUGCUACAAAAAAAAAAAAA
Molecule: non-coding RNA, 705 nt
Organism: Marmota flaviventris (yellow-bellied marmot)
Lineage: Eukaryota; Metazoa; Chordata; Mammalia; Rodentia; Sciuridae
Source: RefSeq, a predicted model, not a curated record